RNAcentral lists this ribosomal RNA (466 nucleotides) under uncultured bacterium. RNAcentral's name for it is "partial 16S ribosomal RNA". It matches the Rfam family "Bacterial small subunit ribosomal RNA", at positions 28 to 506 of the family's 1533-position model. The record is from RNAcentral.
GACGAACGCUGGCGGCGUGCUUAACACAUGCAAGUCGAACGGAAAGGCCCUGCUUUUGUGGGGUGCUCGAGUGGCGAACGGGUGAGUAACACGUGAGUAACCUGCCCUUGACUUGGGAUAACUUCAGGAAACUGGGGCUAAUACCGGAUAGGAGCUCCUGCUGCAUGGUGGGGGUUGGAAAGUUUCGGCGGUUGGGGAUGGACUCGCGGCUUAUCAGCUUGUUGGUGGGGUAGUGGCUUACCAAGGCUUUGACGGGUAGCCGGCCUGAGAGGGUGACCGGCCACAUUGGGACUGAGAUACGGCCCAGACUCCUACGGGAGGCAGCAGUGGGGAAUAUUGCACAAUGGGCGGAAGCCUGAUGCAGCAACGCCGCGUGCGGGAUGACGGCCUUCGGGUUGUAAACCGCUUUCGCCUGUGACGAAGCGUGAGUGACGGUAAUGGGUAAAGAAGCACCGGCUAACUACGU